CAACAACUGGGUGCCGCUGUCGCCGGCUUUAUACCGCAGACUGUACAGCUCCUUGUUGCCGCUCCAGUCAGCAGGCAGCAGCUCGGACUUCUUGUCGCUGGCGCGGGGCUGCAGUGAACGAAACACACCACGGCGUCCUGCGGGCAGCUGAUGCUGCCAGCGACACAGGUGUACAACACCUCUAAGCCCGCCAUGUCUCUUAUUAUCUACCCACUACGGCAACAUCAGUUCGGUUUCUAGCGGAGGAGUGAAAUCGAAAGUGUCGACAGGUCAACGGCGACAAGCAACAGCAACCACUUCCCGUCUGCGCCUUUCAGUGUAAAAGCCCAGCAAAAAAAAAAAAGCUACCAACUUUCACGAAUGUUGCAGACAAACUUUUGCCGAUGGCUUAUUAAAAACUGAGAAACCCAAGAGCCCCUAUUAUCCAACGUGUGUAGCUGCAGACUUGAUGGCGUGGAGAGGUCUCGCUGAAGGAUUUAAGUGCCAUCACACUGCCAGAGUGGAGGAGGAUUUUUCCACAAACUGUAAUUAAUGGCUUAUAACAGAUCUGCUAAGCAUUAAUAAUAACCAAUAGUAAAGCAUUUAAUUAAUGAAAGAAAGUGGUACAAAUAAAUGUUAAGAAUAUUGAAGUUAAUAAGUGGACCUUGACCCUUAAAUUAACAUUUAAUUUUUUUUCCCCCCAUUAUUUCAAUUUAUUUAUUUAUUUUUUGGUCAUACAAUAAUAGUGUUAUUUUAUCAAGCCCAGGUCUUGUAGGUUUAUGAUGACACUGAUACGAUUUAAUUUUUGUAACGGCAUAUUAAGUUUUAAUGAAGUCUGAUUUAAUCAAAAAAAGU
Long non-coding RNA from Xiphias gladius (swordfish), 834 nucleotides. RefSeq lists it as uncharacterized. The record is from RefSeq and is a predicted model, not a curated record. The transcript is spliced from 3 exons. Lineage: Eukaryota; Metazoa; Chordata; Actinopteri; Istiophoriformes; Xiphiidae.